UCUUCCACAAUGGACGCAAGUCUGAUGGAGCAACGCCGCGUGAGUGAAGAAGGUUUUCGGAUCGUAAAGCUCUGUUAUUGGUGAAGAAGGAUAGAGGUAGUAACUGGCCUUUAUUUGACGGUAAUCAACCAGAAAGUCACGGCUAACUACGUGCCAGCAGCCGCGGUAAUACGUAGGUGGCAAGCGUUGUCCGGAUUUAUUGGGCGUAAAGCGAGCGCAGGCGGAAAAAUAAGUCUGAUGUGAAAGACCUCGGCUCAACCGAGGAAUUGCAUCGGAAACUGUCUUUCUUGAGUGCAGAAGAGGAGAGUGGAACUCCAUGUGUAGCGGUGGAAUGCGUAGAUAUAUGGAAGAACACCAGUGGCGAAGGCGGCUCUCUGGUCUGUAACUGGCGCUGAGGCUCGAAAGCAUGGGUAGCGAACAGGA
RNAcentral lists this ribosomal RNA (423 nucleotides) under uncultured bacterium. Its description in RNAcentral is "bacterial SSU rRNA". It matches the Rfam family "Bacterial small subunit ribosomal RNA", at positions 362 to 777 of the family's 1533-position model. The record is from RNAcentral.